Molecule: long non-coding RNA, 1070 nt
Organism: Phyllostomus discolor (pale spear-nosed bat)
Lineage: Eukaryota; Metazoa; Chordata; Mammalia; Chiroptera; Phyllostomidae
Exons: 2
Source: RefSeq, a predicted model, not a curated record
ACAAACAGAAAAUAAAGGGCUCAGGCGUAUGAGUACACAGGUUUAAGCCAACAGAACACAUAUUAUUCUGCUUUUAAUUUGACAGCAAAAAAGAUAUCUGAAUUGAGCAGAUUUAUUAUAUGAAAAUGGCAUACAUAAGGUUAAGAAGCAAUAUUUUUAAAAAUUCUCAAGUUAAAGGAGAACGAUAUAUUUAAGCAUGAGAUAUGUUUCUGUGUUUUAAAAUGUAUAUGGGAUUUGGGGGUUUUGACAUCGAGAAAUCACUUCAUUUCAUUGCACUUUCACCCAACUACAUGAUAUAGAAAGGAGAGACUUGAUUGUUUACUUCUUCAUGUAAUCUGAGAAGAUAAAAUUUCAAAUUACAGCUAUAACAACAGAUAGAGAUCCCAUCUAGUUAAAAAAUAUCCAUAAGCGUCAUUUUGCUGAAUGUAUAAAACAACAAGAGCAACAGAAAUAUUUUCAGUCAUACUUCAAGCCACCUAAAAAUUCUUUGGGGAUCAAUUCCUUCCCUUCUAUAGCAAAGUAACAUGUGUAUAUGUACUACAAAUCUAAAGGCAAAUAGGCUUGUUCCUAUUCACUUGUCCUUGCAAUGAAGCAUCUGCUCACUAUUUUGUUUUUUUGCUGCUGUUAUUUCUUUUCUGAAUGCUCCAAUUCAAAAACAUCAGCCUACCACCUUUUUUAGUUGUUAAAUCUCCCUGUCCUGUGGCUACAUCUCUGUGCACCAGAGAAAAGAUCUCUUUAACAAAGUAGAUCUGUGUGUCCUUAACACUGAGGCCCCUGGCUUGCAGCUGGAGGCAGCUCUCUGCUCAACUGCCGUGGAGAGUGACACAGGCAGGCGACAUCGUCACUGAACACCAACUUCUGUUACAUCCAGGCAGGCUGUGGUAUCCAUUUCAGAACCUCGGCAAGACAUAAGAGAAGCAAAGGGGUAGCCGCAAAGUUUUGGAUAAGACCUCUACAUGCAACUGGCAGCACAGUGUACCCAGGUGGUGGGUCUCGUCUGUGACAAUGUAUUUUUCUGUCUGUGCAAUUGAAUAUGGCUGUAAAGGGAAUAAAACCCCAUGUAAUCUCCA